RNAcentral lists this ribosomal RNA (254 nucleotides) under uncultured bacterium. Its description in RNAcentral is "partial 16S ribosomal RNA". It matches the Rfam family "Bacterial small subunit ribosomal RNA", at positions 524 to 776 of the family's 1533-position model. The record is from RNAcentral.
UACAGAGGCCACGAGCGUUAGGCGGAAUCACUGGGCUUAAAGCGUGUGUAGGUGGAUGACUAAGUACCUUGUGAAAUCCCACGGCUCAACCGUGGAAGUGCACUCGAAACUGCAUAGCUAGAGUCCUGGAGAGGAAGGUGGAAUGCUUGGUGUAGAGGUGAAAUUCGUAGAUAUCAAGCGGAACACCGGUGGCGAAGGCGGCCUUCUGGACAGUGACUGACGCUGAGACGCGAAAAGCGUGGGGAGCAAACAGG